RNAcentral lists this ribosomal RNA (497 nucleotides) under uncultured bacterium. RNAcentral's name for it is "partial 16S ribosomal RNA". It matches the Rfam family "Bacterial small subunit ribosomal RNA", at positions 28 to 507 of the family's 1533-position model. The record is from RNAcentral.
GAUGAACGCUGGCGGCGUGCCUAAUACAUGCAAGUCGAGCGAACAGACGAGGAGCUUGCUCCUCUGACGUUAGCGGCGGACGGGCGAGUAACACGUGGAUAACCUACCUUUAAGACUGGGAUAACUUCGGGAAACCGGAGCUAAUACCGGAUAAUAUAUUGAACCGCAUGGUUCAAUAGUGAAAGACGGUUUUGCUGUCACUUAUAGAUGGAUCCGCGCCGCAUUAGCUAGUUGGUAAGGUAACGGCUUACCAAGGCAACGAUGCGUAGCCGACCUGAGAGGGUGAUCGGCCACACUGGAACUGAGACACGGUCCAGACUCCUACGGGAGGCAGCAGUAGGGAAUCUUCCGCAAUGGGCGAAAGCCUGACGGAGCAACGCCGCGUGAGUGAUGAAGGUCUUCGGAUCGUAAAACUCUGUUAUUAGGGAAGAACAAAUGUGUAAGUAACUAUGCACGUCUUGACGGUACCUAAUCAGAAAGCCACGGCUAACUACGUG